Molecule: ribosomal RNA, 484 nt
Filed under: uncultured bacterium
Lineage: Bacteria
Description: partial 16S ribosomal RNA
Rfam family: Bacterial small subunit ribosomal RNA
Source: RNAcentral
AUUGAACGCUGGCGGCAGGCCUAACACAUGCAAGUCGAGCGGAUGAAGGGAGCUUGCUCCUGGAUUCAGCGGCGGACGGGUGAGUAAUGCCUAGGAAUCUGCCUGGCAGUGGUGGAUAACGUCCGGAAACGGGCGCUAAUACCGCAUACGUCCUGAGGGAGAAAGUGUGGGAUCUUCGGACCUCACGCUAUCAGAUGAGCCUAGGUCGGAUUAGCUAGUUGGUGGGGUAAAGGCCUACCAAGGCGACGAUCCGUAACUGGUCUGAGAGGAUGAUCAGUCACACUGGAACUGAGACACGGUCCAGACUCCUACGGGAGGCAGCAGUGGGGAAUAUUGGACAAUGGGCGAAAGCCUGAUCCAGCCAUGCCGCGUGUGUGAAGAAGGUCUUCGGAUUGUAAAGCACUUUAAGUUGGGAGGAAGGGCAGUAAGUUAAUACCUUGCUGUUUUGACGUUACCAACAGAAUAAGCACCGGCUAACUUCGUG